Molecule: ribosomal RNA, 450 nt
Filed under: uncultured bacterium
Lineage: Bacteria
Description: partial 16S ribosomal RNA
Rfam family: Bacterial small subunit ribosomal RNA
Source: RNAcentral
GUGGGGAAUAUUGGACAAUGGGCGAAAGCCUGAUCCAGCCAUGCCGCGUGUGUGAAGAAGGUCUUCGGAUUGUAAAGCACUUUAAGUUGGGAGGAAGGGCAGUAAGUUAAUACCUUGCUGUUUUGACGUUACCGACAGAAUAAGCACCGGCUAACUUCGUGCCAGCAGCCGCGGUAAUACGAAGGGUGCAAGCGUUAAUCGGAAUUACUGGGCGUAAAGCGCGCGUAGGUGGUUUUGUAAGUUGGAGGUGAAAUCCCCGGGCUCAACCUGAGAACUGCCUCCAAAACUUCAUGACUAGAGUACGGUAGAGGGUAGUGGAAUUUCCUGUGUAACGGUGAAAUGCGUAGAUAUAGGAAGGAACACCAGUGGCGAAGACGACUACCUGGACUGAUACUGACACUGAGGUGCGAAAGCGUGGGGAGCAAACAGGAUUAGAUACCCCGGUAGUCC